GAUGAACGCUGGCGGCGUGCCUAAUACAUGCAAGUCGAGCGAACGGACGAGAAGCUUGCUUCUCUGAUGUUAGCGGCGGACGGGUGAGUAACACGUGGAUAACCUACCUAUAAGACUGGGAUAACUUCGGGAAACCGGAGCUAAUACCGGAUAAUAUUUUGAACCGCAUGGUUCAAAAGUGAAAGACGGUCUUGCUGUCACUUAUAGAUGGAUCCGCGCUGCAUUAGCUAGUUGGUAAGGUAACGGCUUACCAAGGCAACGAUGCAUAGCCGACCUGAGAGGGUGAUCGGCCACACUGGAACUGAGACACGGUCCAGACUCCUACGGGAGGCAGCAGUAGGGAAUCUUCCGCAAUGGGCGAAAGCCUGACGGAGCAACGCCGCGUGUGUGAUGAAGGUCUUCGGAUCGUAUAACUCUGUUAUUAGGGAAGAACAUAUGUGUAAGUAACUGUGCACAUCUUGACGGUACCUAAUCAGAAAGCCACGGCUAACUACGUG
Molecule: ribosomal RNA, 497 nt
Filed under: uncultured bacterium
Lineage: Bacteria
Description: partial 16S ribosomal RNA
Rfam family: Bacterial small subunit ribosomal RNA
Source: RNAcentral